GAAAUGCGAUAAGUAAUGUGAAUUGCAGAAUUCAGUGAAUCAUCGAAUCUUUGAACGCACCUUGCGCCCUCUGGUAUUCCGGAGGGCAUGCCUGUUUGAGUGUCAUGUAGACUCAAUCCCUCGGGUUUCCGAGGAGAUUGGACUUGGGUGUUGCCGCUCUGCCGGCUCGCCUUAAAAGACUUAGCGGGAUAGCACCGUAGUCGGCGUAAUAAGUUUCGUCGGUGAAGGUUGUGAUGACUGCUUACAAUCGCCCUCGGGCAAUUUUUGACUCCGACCUCAAAGCAGGCAGGAGUACCCGCAGAACUUAAGC
RNAcentral lists this unclassified non-coding RNA (310 nucleotides) under plant metagenome. RNAcentral's name for it is "partial contains 5.8S ribosomal RNA, internal transcribed spacer 2, and large subunit ribosomal RNA". The stretch from base 1 to 105 matches the Rfam family "5.8S ribosomal RNA", at positions 50 to 154 of the family's 154-position model. The record is from RNAcentral.